This is a long non-coding RNA of Gymnodraco acuticeps, 1272 nucleotides long. RefSeq lists it as uncharacterized. The transcript has 8 exons. Lineage: Eukaryota; Metazoa; Chordata; Actinopteri; Perciformes; Bathydraconidae. The record is from RefSeq and is a predicted model, not a curated record.
CUAAAGGACAGCCACCUGGCGGCUCACACUCAUUCUCUCCUGAGUGAUCGUAUGCUUGCCUGCCGAAACACAUUUUUAUUGUUUUUACAAUUCGUUUUUAAACAUUUGUAUUUGAGGCAGAGCCGACAUCAACAACACGACCCACAGCAGAGCCAGAGUUGCUUGCUGCAGAGCCCCUUGAAGGCAUAAAAUGGCCUGAGGUGGAUGUAGACUCCACAGAAACAAUGACGAUGCAGGGCACAAUGAAAUUCUUAAUGAACUCAAGCCCAUUAUCUGAGGCGUCCACCUCCCACCCGACCGGGGCUUCUGCGGCGGCACCUGGCCCCCACCCCGUCAGGAACCCUUCACUCACCCACAUACCAUCAACAAAUUACAGGAAUGGGCGCUGCAAGUGCGGAAGAAGACACUCAUCUUAGGCCCAGGUCUCCAAGGUACUGAUGGAGCUCAAGAGGAAAUUCUUCUUCUUCAAGGAAGCCACAGAGGAAGAUAUGCCAGUUAGAGCACCAGUUUUUUACUGUGCAACUCUCGGGUGGUGGAUUUCCGCAGAGCGUCUAUGUUCUUGGAUUCCCUGGGAGGAAACGGUCAAGGUGCGUGCCAAAUAUUAUUGCUUGGCUUCUUCCUCAGGCUCUGCGUCAGAUUGGUGUAACUCGACAUCUGCUGUGAAGUCAGGCAUGCUGUGACAGGAGUCUGAAGUCGGCUGGCUUUCAAAAGGCUCGCCUUCUGCCUCUUCGUAGUAACCACCUGAAUCCCGACCCUCAUCUUCUUCUUGGGGGGGCCUCAGCUUCACCUUCAACAUCCCCAUCAUUGUUUCCUUCGGCGUCUGCUACAACAUCGCCAUCCUGCUACAACAGAUUUUCCAGAUCCCGCAGCGUGUCACGACUGGGACCCGGAAAAAGACGCCCUGCUGUUCAUGCAAUGGGGCAUCCAUACUGUGUGCGUGUAAAGGUAGCUGCGAUCACUUGAACUGCGGCUGCCUUAAAAGGAAGAUGGCCUGCGGGGAGACCUGCCAGUGCCAUCAUGAGAAGUGCCUUAAUAUGUAGAAGCAUCCCGAGGAUCCCACUUCAAGCAGCCCAUGAAGACGGGGACAAGACCCCCAAGGCCCUGAGACAACAUUUAUAUUGUAUAUGUUUUUAAAAGACAAGUUCACUACUUUUAUCAGAUACUUUUAUUUAUUUAAUAGUCUUAGUUCUCCAUGUGCUCUUUGGCCAUUUUUGAUUUGUUGAAACGCAGCCGUUUUAAGUGUUUUCUGUUUUUGUUUUCUGGGCAAAAUAA